Long non-coding RNA from Oreochromis aureus, 1139 nucleotides. NCBI's taxonomy places the organism in Eukaryota, Metazoa, Chordata, Actinopteri, Cichliformes, Cichlidae. The record is from Ensembl.
CAAAAUACAAAACACGUACAAAAUACAAAACACAUGCAAAAUACAAAACACGUACAAAAUACAAAACACGUACAAAAUACAAAACACAUGCAAAAUACAAAACACAUACAAAAUACAAAACACAUGCAAACUCCAAAACACAUGCAAAAUACAAAACACGUACAAAAUACAAAACACGUACAAAAUACAAAACACAUGCAAAAUACAAAACACAUACAAAAUACAAAACACAUGCAAACUCCAAAACACAUGCAAAAUACAAAACACGUACAAAAUACAAAACACAUGCAAAAUACAAAACACAUACAAAAUACAAAACACAUGCAAAAUACAAAACACAUGCAAACUCCAAAGCACAACGGAAGUGCUCCAGGACGCUAGGGGCAGUGUUGAGCUUUUGUUACCUAGUAACUACACAAGCCAGGACGUACCAAUUACCGGAUUUGGGCUGUAUCCCAAUUCAGGGUCUGCAGCCUUUUUUUUCCUCACUUUAUUUAUCUCAUUUUAGACAUACAGUCAAGGGGUCUGCAGCCUUAAAGGCCGCAUUUUAAUGCCAAAGGCUGUCCCAAUUCAAAGGCUGCUCGAAAUGCGGCCCUCAAAUGCGUUCUUCAUUUCCCUGAAUUUUAAGGAUGGGUCAGUGUAGCCUUCAUGGCCCAACAUAUCCCAGACUUCAUAGCGCGGCGGUGGUGUGGAUAAUUUUGCCGAAAAAAACCGUGGAAGCGAAGCGGCCGAAGAGUACUUUCAAAACUUAUCACACAUUUGAUUUCCAUUUGUGCCAACUGCAAGUGUCCAGAGUGAGGACAGACUGAGGGACCCACUGCUGCACAUCAUCUGUGAGGCUUUGCACCCCUGAUGAUCCACCAGGACAAACUCAGCAGUGUGUGAGGAAGAGGAGGAGGAAGAGCCAGCAGUAGCUGACAGAUGGAGAGAAUAGAGACUGUUCCUGUUUGUGAAGGACUGCUAGGAAAGUUUAACAUAACUAAUUGUCUGUCCUGAAUCAGUCUUAUUAGGUAAUGUUCAAAUAAUGUUAUCAUCCCAGUGUUUUCAGUGUGGGAGAAAGUACUCAGGGCCUUCAAGUUACACACUAUGAAAGGCAGCAACAAGUUUAAUAUUCAGAAACCUAAAGUAUGUAUCAGCAG